Molecule: non-coding RNA, 23 nt
Filed under: Rattus norvegicus (Norway rat)
Lineage: Eukaryota; Metazoa; Chordata; Mammalia; Rodentia; Muridae
Source: RNAcentral
UUUCACAAUUCUUGGUACCUAAC